Small nucleolar RNA from Rosa rugosa (rugosa rose), 83 nucleotides. RefSeq annotates it as small nucleolar RNA Z159/U59. The record is from RefSeq and is a predicted model, not a curated record. The transcript has a single exon. NCBI's taxonomy places the organism in Eukaryota, Viridiplantae, Streptophyta, Magnoliopsida, Rosales, Rosaceae.
GCCUCUGAUGAUGAUUCAAAUAUACUUUCGUUCUUCCGAGUUUAUCCAUGCGGAAAUUUUGUGGAGACCUGAACUGAAGAGGC